Molecule: long non-coding RNA, 12707 nt
Filed under: Erythranthe guttata (spotted monkey flower)
Lineage: Eukaryota; Viridiplantae; Streptophyta; Magnoliopsida; Lamiales; Phrymaceae
Description: long non-coding RNA (EGUT_LNC003377)
Source: RNAcentral
UAAAUACAGAAUUCAGCGGGUCUCCUUUGCAUGAAUUUGGCAUGAUAUUCUGGUUCGCCUUCUCCACCAUGGUCUUUGCUCACAGUAAGCCACCUUUCAUCUUUUAACUACAGUCAUUUUUGCCAAAUGUUACACUAGAGCAAAUCUAAGGCCGUGUUUUGGCAAUUGAUAAUAUUGUAAACAUCUAAACUGAUAUUGAAUGUUAAUAAAAACAAGAAGUUGUUUCUGACCAUUUGGCAUUGAAUUUUUUGGUAGGGGAGAGGGUGAUAAGCAACUGCGCCAGGUUUCUGCUGAUCAUAUGGCUCUUGGCAGUAUUUGUAUUAACCCAAAGCUACUCCGCCAGUCUUACAUCCAUAUUAACAAUCCAGAAGGUGGAGCCAGCAGUUACUGAUAUUAAUGAGCUCAUAAGAAACAAGGAAUAUGUAGGCUACUCGAACACAUCAUUUGUUUUUGGAUUUCUCAAGAAAAUGGAAUUUGAUGCAUCUCGACUUCGGUCAUUCAAGUCAGCGGAGGAAAUGGAUGAACUUCUCUCCAAAGGGAGUGCAAAUGGUGGAAUAGCAGCUGCCUUUCAUGAGAUCCCGUACAUAAAGCUGUUUCUAGGCAAAUACUGUUCAAAAUACAUGAUGGCCGGGCCCACGUACAAGGCUGAAGGUUUUGGAUUCGUAUGUGACCCUCCUCAUCACCUACUUUCAAGUGUAUCUAUCACAUAUAUUUUUUUUUCAUUCUAUGUUGUCGUUUUCUGUACUUUUAAUAAAAUAUCUCUCUUCUUUGCUGCAGGUCUUCCCAAUAGAUUCUCCUCUAGUACCUGAUGUUUCACGAGAAAUUUUGAAUGUGGCGGAGGGCCAGAAGAUGGUCGAGAUUGAGACGACGUGGUUGGGAGAUAAGACCAAAUGUCCAGACCUUAACAGCUUACUUCCACCUAAGAGUCUUGGCCUUUCAAGCUUCAGGGGACUCUUUAUUAUGGUAGGAAUAGCUGGAGUUUUAGCACUUAUAUUUAGAUUCUUCAGUAAAAAACCGCAAUUCCCUGGUGAUGAACUCACAGCGCAGAGCCAGAGAGAUGAAUUACAUCGGUUACUGAACAGGAGGUACGAGGUAGGAGGUGGUCAACAAGGCAAUGUACCUGAGAAUCCAAAUGAACUGCCCGCAAUUCGGGCACAUUUACAUGAACAUGAGUUACAUGAGUUACCGAUGAGGUUCAAUAAUAGAGAUGAACAAGGCAAUUAGUCUAAGAAUCUGAAUUAAAGCGAGUGAAUCACCUAAUUUGUAAUUUUUUGCUUCCACUAUGAUUGUGAUAUAUUGGUACUCUUUGUUGGAUCCUCCGUGACACUUUGUAAGCUGUAACCGAACUUUUAGUAUGAAGAUGUGAUACUAAGAAGGGUGUUCCAAAUCGUGAGGUAAAAACUCAAAUCUUGCUAUCUUAGAAAAUUCUACUCCCCCUUUCCACAAUCCUACUACAGUUCAUCCUCGUCAACAUAUUUGGAUUGUUCUACAUUUUGCUUUUGCUGUAGCAAGAUAGUCAUCGCCACUUUAAAUGUGUAUAACUUCACAAGUGCAAUAGCAGAUGUAUGCUACCUUUCAAUUUCUGAUAUGGGCUACAAAUCACUAGCUUUGAUUAAAAUAUCAUUACAAAGAAGGAAAAAAAAAUGAACUCUGUUAAAGGGACAUCAAGGAAACAUAAAAAAAGCUAGAGGUGUUAUUGUAAAUCAUAAAUCAGUUGCUACAUGUUUCAUUUUCUUUUCCUUGAUUUCUCUUCUUAGGACUUGCACCAGCAAGUUCUCUUCUGUUUCAUUUCAUGUUCGAACCUUUGUACUCUACUGUAAUUAUGACAUAUAAAUUGGAAUUCUGUGUUGGUUAUCUAUACACAUCUAAAAGUCGUCCCGGUUUAAAUUUUAGUUUAGGUCCUUCAGUAGUCAAACUUUUAGUAUGAGGGUAUACCUAAAGAGUGUGUCCAAAUGACCUAAAAUCAUGUCGUAGAACUCACAUUUGGCUGUCUUAUAAACUUCUAUUCACCGCUUCCACAGUCCCACUAGAAUUCCUCCUCGUUAAAGUGUUUACUAAGGGAUGCCAUUCACUAGAGAUCAUACAUAUUCUUUUAGGCAUUUCAACAAACAUGAAAUAGGCAUCAACACCAACAUUAACAAAAAAAAAAAACACAGAAUACCCCCUCAAACAAUAGUUUCUACAAUUGACCCCAAAAAAUAAACUGACACAUAAAUAGAACACAUUUUGUUAUAAGGAUUCCCAAUCAGGAUUAGGUCAGAUAUACUUGGUGUUGAACGAAUCCAAAGUGGUUGAUAUAAAUAGAAGAAAAAAAAACAUAUACAGCAAGUGGUAAUAUUAAAGCAAAAUGAGAGAGCGUUUACCUGAGUAAGAUUAACAGUCUCGAUCAUCCCCAUGGCCAGAGGCGUAGACGUGUCUGGCCGAGGUCUCUUUCACACUCUUCUUCUUCUUCUUCGCCCAGUCAAGUCAAUAUAAGAAAAUGAUCGAUAAAACCAAAUGUCCAGAUUCUAGUACUUUGUUCUCGUCCAACAGUAUCGGUUUAGAGAGCUUUUGGGGGCUGUUCUUGAUAGUGGGAAUUGCUGCAGCUUCAGCAUUGAUAAUCUACGCGAUCAAAUUCCUACGCGAAAAAUAGAGAUAGAGAGAGUGGCUGUGGAGGUGAUUGCGUGAAGUGAGCAGCAGAAUCAUCUAACGAACAUGAUUUUCGAUUUAGUCCGUCGACUUUUUCAGUGGCCUCUCCGUGUACUAAUGGCCCGACUUCUCGAGCCCAAAUGCGCAGAAUGUAGAUUUUCGAGCUAUGCAGCAAGAAAUCGAACUUGUCAAUCCGAAUCAAAACGAGCAAUUGUCAUCAACAACGGUGGACUUGGCGCAUGAAGUUCACUAAGUGUGGUAGCUUUAUCUUUCAUCUCAAUCAGAUAGGGGUAAGAUGACAUCUUGUAAUUUCAUUUCCAUUGUAGAAGAGUACUCUCAUCUAACAUUUCAAGAAGAAUAAAAGAAAAAAAGAUCUCGAUUAGUGUCUUGUUCCAAGAUAGUUCCUUAGGAGCUUUAAUGCCUGAAAUUUUGAUUUGCGAUAACACAUCAUUAGCAUUAAAACUAGCAUUGAUACAAUAUCGAAAAAAAUGUAAUUGUGUAGAAAUUCGGAGAAGGGCUGUUUAGGAAAAAUCACAAAGCUACAGAUUUCACCUUAAGUACGAGCUAAUAGAGGAAAAGAGAUGCAUGACUUGAGUAUGACAAUGGAAGAAUGCAGGCAAUUUCUAAGAGUUAAUAUUCUUGUAGGCAUUUCAACAAACAUGUACUAGGCAUCCACACAAUCCAUCAAUGCAAUCAUUAAAAAGAAUAUAAAUCAGUAAUUAUUAAUUACCAACAUCUCUGUCACGAGUGACGACAACUUGGAUUCUUCUUCUCAUAAAGUACUCCGAGGUUGUCAAUAUUAUCCGCUCUAGUUAGAUUUAAAUAUUUGCACUUGUAAUAAAUACAUUUUCAAUAUUCUGAGUAAGAGCACUUUGUUCACGUCUUCCCCUGCCUUGCCAAAUCAAUUACAUUUAUAACCAAUAAAUCUUUCAAAGUCAAAGUCAACCAUAGAAGUUGCUAAACAUGAUUAAUCACCCUAAUUGCCUCAUGUAAAUUUCAAAUUUCGAAGAGUUCGAGUUUUUUUUGUAAUAAGUCAAACCUCAAGAAUGAAUGAAUAAUUGUUUAUAAGGGUAAAUUACGGUCAUUCCCAUAGGGUAAUGCUAAAUUACGAAAAAAUCCCUCAUGUUUGGAUAUUUAUAAUCAAUUAAUCAUCCCCUCAAGUCCAUCCUUGCGGUGUCAAAUUUGGAAUCUUCCAUAAUCUAGAAGAUUACGUUGAAUUUGACACCGUAAGGGUGUACGCGUAGAAGAUUCAUAGUCGAUGGAUGGUUGUAAUUAUCCAAACAUAAGUGAGUUUGUCGUAAUUUAAUCUUAACUCGGGGGUGGCCGUAACAUAAAAAAAAAAUCAUUCUAAUCAAACCUUUUAACAAGCAUUUAUGAAAAUUUACAACAUCAACCAAUUUUGGAUAGCUCAUUGACUUUACAAAAGUAAACUCCCAUGAUUCUCCAAAGAAACUUCAAAAUACAAUAUAUUAGGACAGCUCAUUUUGGGUCCUACACCAUGUACUUAGUUCUGGAUGUAACAGUUCAAAUUCAAACAUCCAAAAACACAAUGCCCUGUGUAUGCAUUUUUUUUUGGUAAUCAAAUUAAAUCAUCAUCUAGAAAGAAAAAAAAAAGAAAUGGAGAAGAUCAAAACCUGCAGAUAUGUCAUUUUGCAUCUCUUCUGUUAUUUAUGUGCCGUGAUUUUCUCAACAAAAAUGGCAGCGGCACAGAACAUCUCUGUAAGAGUAGGAGUGGUGCUAGACAUGGAUGAGUAUGGAAAGAUGGCAUUCAACUGCAUAUCAAUGGCGCUAUCGGAUUUCUACACUACACAUGAUUCUUACAACACGAGGCUGUUUCUCUACAACCGGGACUCCAACGGAGACGUCAUCGGGGCAGCUGCUGCAGGUACUCCGCCUAAAACACACACAACACACAUUCAAGAAACAAGGAAGAAACGAAAAAAAUAUAAAAAAAUUAUAAACGUAAUCAACUCAUAUAGUAAGAUUUUUUAAUUACUAUGUCAGAUGCUGUAGGAUGAAUAUUCAAUUGGGCCCAACUGCCAACUUUUCUGUUGGUUAUAACUUUCAGGCUUCAGCAGCAUUACUUGUUCUUCUAACUAUACUUCAAGCAUAAUUGGAAACUUACCCAAACAUAGUAAUCCCAAUGUAUAACAUAUUUACCCUCACCAAAAUAUUUCUUUACGGAAAUCGCAUCACAACAUUACCGAUAUUGAAGGAUAAUAGGGUAAAAGGACUAUUUUCUUCACCACGUGACAUCUUUUGAUAACGUUCAUUACUACUGACAAAUCCAGAUCAAGUGAAUUUUUUUUCCUAGAUGAGAAAUACCCUAAACGGUCAUCGCUUUUUACAUCUUAAUUUCAAAAUAAAAAGCAUACAACUAUGUUAUGUUGCCCAUGAAAUGCAGGUUUGGACCUGCUGAAGAAUAUUGAAGUGCAAGCCAUAAUAGGUCCCAUGUACUCGGUACAGGCUAAUUUCCUUAUUUCUCUUGGACAGAAAGCUCACGUUCCUAUUAUUACCUUCUCAGCCACAAGUCCUUCUCUUUCAUCACUAAGGAGUCCUUAUUUCGUUCGGGCUACUCUAAACGACUCUACGCAAGUAAACCCCAUAGUUGCAAUUAUUCAAGCCUUUAAAUGGAAAGAAGUCGUGCCAAUCUAUGAGGAUAACGAAUUCGGGGAAGGGAUUGUACCGUUUUUAAGCGAUGCCUUAGAACAGGUAAAUGUGCGCGUACCUUACAGGAGUGUCAUUCCGUCAUUAGCAACAGACGAACAAAUUGUCGAUGAGCUUAACAAGCUGAAGACUAUGCAAACAAGAGUAUUCAUCGUGCACAUGUUACGCAGUCUCGGUUCUCGCCUGUUCGCCAAAGCAGCACAACUAGGAAUGAUGAGUAAAGAUUACGCAUGGAUAAUAACAGACAGCAUCACAAACGAAUUAACUGCAAUGGAUCCUUCUCUCGUAGCAUCGAUGCUAGGAGUAAUAGGAGUAAAACCUUAUAUUCCACAGACAAAAGAGCUGGACGACUUUGCAAUUCGAUACAAAAACAAGAUUCAGCAGAGCAAUCCAAAAGCUCUAAAUCUGGACAUAUAUGGUAUAUGGGCUUAUGACUCGGCCCUUGCACUAGCCAUGGCAGUUGAAAAAGCAGAGUUAGCAAAUCUUACAUAUCAGAAGACGAACACGUCGACAAAUUCUACAGAUCUUGAAGCCUUUGGGGUAUCGUUAAGUGGACCAAAGCUCAUUCAGGCUUUAUUGAGUAUCACGUUUAGAGGCCUUGCUGGAAACUUCCAAUUAGUCGAUGGCCAACUCCAAGCACCGCCUUACGAAAUAGUCAACAUUGUUGGUCCUGGAGCUAGUGGUAUAGGAUAUUGGACAAAAGAGAAUGGAAUUGUCAACAAACUAAACUUCAGUAGUUCAAGCGCAAGCGCAUAUUCAACUUCCAAAGACAACCUCGGAUCAAUUACAUGGCCAGGCAACGAAUCAUCGCCACCUAAAGGUUGGGUGGUUCCAACAAAAACCAAGAAAAUGAGAGUAGGCGUGCCUGUAAAGGAUGGUUUCACUGAAUUCGUCCGUGUUACAUGGAAUUCCGACAAUUCUACGACAGUGGAAGGAUUCUGCAUAGAUAUUUUUGAUGCGGUGAUGAAAGCACUACCAUAUGAUGUGCCGUAUGAAUACAUUCCAUUUGCAACUCCUGAUCACAAGAUGGCUGGAGAUUAUAAUGAAAUGGCCUAUCAAGUGUACCUUGGAGUAAGUAUUUUCCCUUUUCUUAUUGAAUUUAAAAAUCAAAUACAUUUUCUAUCAGCACAAAGCAAGAUGCACUAUACUAUGCCUGAAUUCUUCUAUUCUCUGCUUAUUGAUGAAUAGAACUAUGACGCUGUGGCUGGUGACGUAACAAUUCUAGGAAAUAGGUCUCAGUACGUAGACUUCACUCUGCCUUUUAUAGAGUCUGGUGUUUCGAUGGUUGUACCGAUCCCAGAGGAUAAGAAGGGAAAUACAUGGAUAUUAGUGAAGCCAUUGACUUGGGAGUUGUGGUCAACAAUAUUCUUCUUUUUUGUUAUAAUUGGGAUUUUGGUUUGGCUUCUUGAACGCCCAGAAAAUAGAGAUUUCAGAGGGUCUCGUUGGGACCAAUUUUGCAUGAUAUUCUGGUUCAGCUUCUCCACCAUGUUCUUUGCUCACAGUAAGCUACCUUUCAUCUUUUAAACUACAGUAAGUCCUUUUUUACCAAAUAUUAAAACCUACUUAAUUAACUCUGCCAAUUUUGGCAUUGACUUUUUUUUUUUUUGGUAGAGGAGAAGGUGAAAACCAACUCCGCCAAGAUAGUGGUGAUUGCAUGGCUAUUGGCGGUAUUUAUAUUAACCCAAGGCUAUGCUUCCAGUCUUACAUCCAUGUUAACAGCCCAGCAGCUGAUAGUGAAUGAUGUUAAUGAGCUUAUAAGAAACAAGGACUAUGUAGGCUACUCGAAUACAUCGUUUGUAUAUGGAUUUCUGAAAAACCUUUUUAACGAGUCGCAACUUCGGCCUUUCAACUCAGCAGAGGAAAUGGAUGAACUUCUCUCCAAAGGGAGUGCAAAUGGUGGAAUAGCAGCUGCCUUUCAUGAGAUCCCAUAUAUAAAGAUGUUUCUAGGCAAAUACUGUUCGAAAUACAUGAUGGUCGGACCCACUUAUAAGGCUGCUGGUUUCGGAUUUGUAUGUGACCCUCUUCACUAUAUAUAUGUUUUCAUUUUUUAUUUUUAUUUUUGCUUUCUAGACUCUCUUUCUCUCUUAUUUGCAGGUUUUUCCAAUAGAUUCUCCUCUAGUACCUGAUGUUUCGAGAGAAAUUUUGAAUGUGACUGAGGUUCAAAAAAUGGUGGAUAUUGAAAAGAAGUGGUUGGGAGAUGAGUCCAAAUGUCCAGACACUGACACCAAAAGUAUUGGCCUAUCAAGCUUCAGGGUAGUCUUUAUUAUUGUAGGAACAGUUGGAAUAGCAGUGGUCAUAAAUUAUAUGAUUAGACAAGGACGUGAAAAUAAGAAUGUCCAUAAAGAUGAUCCCCCAAUUGUCCAUAAUGAUCCCCCAAUUGUCCAUAAUGAUCCCCCAAUUGUCCAUAAUGAUCCCCCAAUUAUCCAUAAUGAUCCCCCAAUUAUCCAUAAUGAUCCCCCAAUUGUCCAUAAUGAUCCCCAAUUAUCCAUAAUGAUCCCCCAAUUAUCCAUAAUGAUCCCCCAAUUAUCCAUAAUGAUCCCAAAAUUGUCGAUAAUGAUCCCACAAUUGAGAGACAGAUAUAUGAGUUAUGGCAGUCACUAAAGACUUUCAAGGAAAGACUAACACCUAAACUCUAGCACAUGUGGCUGUCAGGUUUCUGUUUACCUCAAAAUAAAGAUUGGUGUGCGACUCUUAAUUGAGGAGGUGGUAUCCUAAUUUCUAAAUCUCAUUCUACGUGUUUCGUAAUUUUUUUCCCCUUAAAUUCUCUUUCUUGAAAUAACGUGAUUAACUUCUCUUCUGAGAAUAUCUUCUUGGGACUUUGAUCGGCAAGUUCUCUUAUGUUUUGUUUCAUGUUCUAACCUUUUGCUUUUACUGUGAUUAUGAUACAUAAAUUUGAACUUUGUUUUGGUUAUGUAUAUCCUCAUAAAACUUUAUCCAAAAGUUUGCAUUUUUUAUCGAUUCCUCAUUGACUCUUGUAAGUUGUAAGGGUGUGAGAGUGAGACUAAGAAAUGUGUUCGAAAUCAUGACAUAGAAACUCAAAUUUUUGCUGUCUUGGAAAGUUCUACUCACCCCUUACAUAUUCCCACUAUAAUUCCCUCUCGUCAAACAUAUUUGGAUUCUUCUACAUUAUAGCUUUUACGAUGGAAAAACUUAAGCUAACAGUGAAAAUGAGAUGCACAAGGAAUUAAAUGUUUACUGAGGAAUGACAAUCAUUACGAGCACGACAAUGGAAGUAAGGAGAUAAUUUCUAGGAGUUCAUAUUUGGGUACCGAGUAAGAAUUUGAGUAUCCUUGUCUAACAUGUUGAGCUUCGUGCCGCACGUGCAGACGUAUCUGAUCGAGGUCUCCUUUCUCCAAUUCUUCUUCUUCUUUUUGCCAAACUCAACUACAUUUGUACACAAUGAAUCACUCAAAGUCAGUUUUACCAAUAAAAAAGGACAAAAGGAAAAAAAAUCAAAUUUACAUUAUUUACUCAGCUCUGUGAUUACAUGGAAGUUGGAAAUAAAACAGAAUCCUUCUGUGAAUCUUGAGAAUAUAUUUUGUAAUUUACGCAGAGUGUUUUACGGGCUACGAAACAUUCCAAUUUUUCAAUAACAUGCAAUAUUUAAAUUAUGUUCUAAAAUUGCGAACACUCUCUUGAGUAAUUACAAUACAAAAUACCCUAAAUUUAAUUUUAAUUUACAGGUAAUUGGAAAGGUGUAAUCUGCAAGUGGAAUGGAUUGGGAAAUGAGUAGAGAAAAGAAUGACAAGUAGACUAUGAGUGUGCUUGUCUUCACGUCUUGAGCCUUAUGGAAAGUUGACCUUUCUGGUCGAAGACUUAUUUAUAUUCUUCUUCUUGACCAAGUCAACACACACGUACACACCCAAUCAAAUUUGAACCCCGUCCUCUCCCACACCCCACAGUGAGAGAAAAAGCCACAAUACCAACCUAAGGCCUUAAUUGACGAUAAAAGGUUACCUUUAACAAAUAGUCAAUAGGAUACAAGGACUGUUGGUGACGAAACCAAUAGGUAUUUUAUAUUUUGGAAUAAAUUACAGAAACUAUUUAAGACUUGUGCUAUUUGUAAAAGUAAAAUAAAGGGAAAGAUCAUAUAACUUUUCGGAUCAGCUUAAAAAUUACCAACCAUUUUUUUCAUCAAGUUGCAUGCAUGUUGGUGAUACGUCAUUGACUUCACAAAAGUAAACUCUAUGAUUCUUUCAGCACACACCAUGCUGGAUUAUAUAUAUAUUCUGUAUUAUACACAUAGCACAGACCAUGUUUUGGGCCCUACCUAUAUUUUAACUGUGGAUGUGACAGUUGAAGACAAACCCUUCAAACAAUGGUAACCAAACAAUGAUCAUUCUCUCAAGUCUCAAACAUGCAAAAUUUAGGAAAAAAGGAUAUGGAGAAGAGAAGAAUUACCUGCAGCAAACCAAUUCUGCAUCUCUUCUUUUAUUUAUUGAUCACUUUGAAGAUUUUUCCUACAAAAAUGGCGACGGCUCAGAACAUCACUGUAAGAGUAGGGGUUGUGUUAAACAUGGAUGGUUUUGGACAGAUGUCAUUCAACUGCUUAUCAAUGGCGCUUACGGAUUUCUACUCUACGCACAAACAAUAUAGAACGAAGCUGGUUCUUACCGACCGGGACUCCAAAGACGAUGCCGUUGGAGCAGCUGCAGCAGGUACUCUGCCUAUAAAAAAACAUAUAACACACACUCAGGAAAUAAGGAAGAAGAAAUAGAGGAAACAAAAAGUUAUAAUUUGAUUUAGCCUAUUAACUAUUCAAUGAUUUUCUUAUUCUUGUUCUGAGGUCUCCCAUGUGAAACAAUGGGUCAAUCGCUUUGUCUUGUCUGAAAAUGGAUGUUAUUAAUUAAACUAGUUGGCAAUCAAGAAAUUCUAUAAAUUUCAAAUUACAAUUCUGUAGGAACAAUCCAUAAUGAUUUUUUUGGGUAUGGCAUUUUAGUCUGUCCGGGAAACAAGUUUAUGUAUAAGAAAGAGUAAACGCUCUACUACUAUAUUGUUAGUUUCUUGCUCAAGUUCAACAGAACAAGAUGUUACUAGAUAUCACAGGGCCAAAAAACACUCUUAUUUAUCUGUUCCUCACAGGCUAGUUUGCUUAAGCAUUAUACAUAUUUUUCCCAAUAAAAGCUAUAAACUUUUCCUAGUUGUAUAAGUGAGAUUUUAAAAAAAAUUUAAGCCCACAAAACUUCAAUUUUCAAGAAAGGAGGAAGAACAUUGAAAUAUUAAAAUUUUCUAAAUAUUCACUCAAGAUGUGGCUGUAUCUACUACUAUUCAGUUCUUUACAUGGAAAAAUUGUGUUGAAGUACUAGCUGAAAUAUUACCAUAUACUGGGAAAGUGCAAACAGAUUCAAGAUGCACCUUCCAGAAUGUAGGCAAUCGACUGAUGAACGUUUUGUUGCACAUGAAAUGCAGGUCUGGACCUACUGAAGAACGUUGAAGUGCAAGCAAUCAUAGGUCCCGUGUACUCAAGUCAGGCUAACUUCCUUAUUUCUCUUGGACACAAAGCUCAUGUUCCUAUUAUUACCUUCUCAGCCACAAGUCCUUCUCUUUCAUCACUUCGGAGUCCAUAUUUCAUCAGGGCUACUCUAAAAGACUCUUCACAAGUAGGCGCCAUAGUUGCAAUUAUUCAAGACUUUGGAUGGAGAGAAGUUGUGGCCGUUUAUGAGAACACUGAAUUUGGAGAAGGGAUUCUACCAUUUCUGACUGAUGCCUUAGAACAGGUAAAUGUGCGCGUACCUUAUAGGAGUGUCAUUUCACCAUCAGCAACAGAUGAUCAAAUCCUUGCAGAGCUUUACAAGUUGAUGGCUAUGCAAACCAGAGUUUUCAUCGUCCACAUGUUGAACCCUCUUGCUUCUCGCCUGUUCACCAAAGUGAAGCAACUAGGAAUGAUGAGUAAAGAUUAUGCAUGGAUAAUAACAGAUAGCAUCACAAACGAUUUAAACUCAAUGGAUCGUUCUGUCAUAGCAUCUAUGCUAGGGGUAAUAGGGGUAAAACCUUAUGUUCCACAGACAAAGGAACUGGACGACUUUACAACUCAAUACAAGAAAAAGGUUCUGCAGAGCAAUCCAAAAGCCCUUGGUGUGGACAUAUACGGGCUAUGGGCUUAUGACUCAGCCAUUGCACUAGCCAUGGCAGCAGAAAGAGUAGGGUUAGCAAAUCUUACAUAUCAAGAGACAAACAUGUCUACAAGUUCUACAGAUCUUGAAGCCUUUGGAGUAUCAUUAAGUGGACCAGAGCUGAUUCAGGCUUUAUCAAACAUCACAUUCAGAGGCCUUGCUGGAGAUUUUCGAUUGGUCGAUGGUCAACUCCAAGCGCCUCCAUACGAGAUAGUCAAUAUGGUAGGUCCAGGAGCUAGAGGCAUAGGAUAUUGGACGAAAGAGAGUGGGAUUGUUAAAGAACUGAACAUCACAAUUGCAUCCAAAAAAAACUAUGCCACUUCCAAGUCCAACCUUGGGCCCACUAUAUGGCCAGGCGACGAACCAUCUCCACCUAAAGGUUGGGUGGUUCCUACGAGAGGGAAGAAACUGAGAGUAGGAGUACCUGUAAAGGCUGGUUUCACUGAUUUCGUUCGUGUAACUUGGAAUUCCGACAAUUCUACAACAGUGGAAGGAUACUGCAUAGAUGUUUUUAAUGCAGUGAUGGCAGCACUACCAUACGGCGUGCCGUAUGAAUACAUUCCAUUUGCAACUCCUGACCACAAGAUGGCUGGUAAUUACAAUGAGUUGGUCUAUCAAGUGUACCUUGGAGUAAGUAUCUUCCUUUUUCCUAUGAAUUUAAAAACCAAACACACUUUAAUCAACAUGGAGCAAGAUGCAAUAUACUACAGCUAACGUUUUUUCCUAAUCAAUGAACAGAACUAUGACGCUGUGGCUGGAGAUGUAACAAUUCUAGUAAAUAGGUCACAGUACGUCGACUUCACUCUGCCAUAUACUGAGUCUGGUGUUUCAAUGGUUGUAAAAAUCCAAGACGAUAAGAGGAAAAAUACAUGGCUUGUUUUUAAACCACUGACUUGGCAACUGUGGAUCACAACCUUUAUCUCUUGUGUUGCGGUUGGGUUUUUGGUUUGGCUUCUUGAACGCGAGAAAAAUACAGAAUUCGGUGGGUCUACUUUGCAUCAAUUAGGCAUGAUAUUCUGGUUCGCCUUCUCCACCAUGGUCUUUGCUCACAGUAAGCCACCUUUCAUCUCUUAACCUACAGUUGUUUUAGCCAAAUGUUACACGUAGAGCAAAUCUAAGGCCGUGUUUUGGCAAUUGAUAAUAUUGUGAACAUCUAAACUGAUAUUGAAGGUUAAUAAAAACAAGAAGUUGUUUCUGACCAUUUGGCAUUGGAUUUUUUGGUAGGGGAGAGGGUGGUAGGCAACUGCGCCAGGUUUCUGCUGAUCAUAUGGCUCUUGGCAGUAUUUGUAUUAACCCAAA